This 575-nucleotide ribosomal RNA is filed under the name uncultured bacterium. RNAcentral describes it as "partial 16S ribosomal RNA". It matches the Rfam family "Bacterial small subunit ribosomal RNA", at positions 355 to 923 of the family's 1533-position model. The record is from RNAcentral.
UGGGGAAUUUUGGACAAUGGGGGAAACCCUGAUCCAGCCAUCCCGCGUGUGCGAUGAAGGCCUUCGGGUUGUAAAGCACUUUUGGCAGGAAAGAAACGUCGUGGGUUAAUACCCCGCGAAACUGACGGUACCUGCAGAAUAAGCACCGGCUAACUACGUGCCAGCAGCCGCGGUAAUACGUAGGGUGCAAGCGUUAAUCGGAAUUACUGGGCGUAAAGCGUGCGCAGGCGGUUCGGAAAGAAAGAUGUGAAAUCCCAGAGCUUAACUUUGGAACUGCAUUUUUAACUACCGGGCUAGAGUGUGUCAGAGGGAGGUGGAAUUCCGCGUGUAGCAGUGAAAUGCGUAGAUAUGCGGAGGAACACCGAUGGCGAAGGCAGCCUCCUGGGAUAACACUGACGCUCAUGCACGAAAGCGUGGGGAGCAAACAGGAUUAGAUACCCUGGUAGUCCACGCCCUAAACGAUGUCAACUAGCUGUUGGGGUCUUCGGACCUUGGUAGCGCAGCUAACGCGUGAAGUUGACCGCCUGGGGAGUACGGUCGCAAGAUUAAAACUUAAAUGAAUUGACGGGGUCAUA